Molecule: unclassified non-coding RNA, 236 nt
Filed under: plant metagenome
Description: partial contains small subunit ribosomal RNA, internal transcribed spacer 1, and 5.8S ribosomal RNA
Source: RNAcentral
UUUCCGUAGGUGAACCUGCGGAAGGAUCAUUACUGAGUGAGGGCCCCUCGGGGUCCAACCUCCCACCCGUGUUUAACGAACCUUGUUGCUUCGGCGGGCCCGCCUCACGGCCGCCGGGGGGCAUCUGCCCCCGGGCCCGCGCCCGCCGAAGCCUCCUGUGAACGCUGUCUGAAGUAUGCAGUCUGAGACAAUUAUUAAAUUAAUUAAAACUUUCAACAACGGAUCUCUUGGUUCCG